Molecule: ribosomal RNA, 195 nt
Filed under: uncultured bacterium
Lineage: Bacteria
Description: partial 16S ribosomal RNA
Rfam family: Bacterial small subunit ribosomal RNA
Source: RNAcentral
CCUACGGGAGGCAGCAGUGAGGAAUUGUUCGCAAUGGGCGCAAGCCUGACGACGCAACGCCGCGUGGAGGAUGAAGAUCUUCGGGUUGUAAACUCCUGUCGAGCGGGACGAAUAUCACCUGGGUCAAUACCCCGGGUGCCUGACGGUACCGCUAAAGGAAACCCCGGCUAAUUCCGUGCCAGCAGCCGCGGUAAU